This is a non-coding RNA of Maylandia zebra (zebra mbuna), 176 nucleotides long. The record is from RefSeq and is a predicted model, not a curated record. NCBI's taxonomy places the organism in Eukaryota, Metazoa, Chordata, Actinopteri, Cichliformes, Cichlidae.
UCUGGUGCAGCCCCCUGUUGAGCCAGACCGACAUGCAGUUGCACAUGAUGACGAAACAGUGACAGCUGCUACAGAGGAGGCCGCAACAGAGCCACACUAUGAGAGUGAUGCUGGAAAUGAAGAGGAAGAGGGUCCAGCCACUCCUACAACGAACCUUUCCACAGUGGGUUGUUCAG